AGCGAACGUUUGCGGCGGGCUUAACACAUGCAAGUCGAACGGGCUGUUCCUUCGGGGGCAGUCAGUGGCGCACGGGUGCGUAACACGUAGGUAAUCAACCCUCUGGUUGGGGAUAACACUUCGAAAGGAGUGCUAAUACCCGGUAUGGCGCAGCGGUCUUCGGACCGCGGCGAGAAAGACCCGCAAGGGUUGCCAGAGGACGAGCCUGCGGCCCAUCAGCUAGUUGGCGAGGUAACGGCUCACCAAGGCGAAGACGGGUAGCUGGUCUGAGAGGAUGAUCAGCCACACUGGAACUGAGACACGGUCCAGACUCCUACGGGAGGCAGCAGUGGGGAAUAUUGCGCAAUGGGCGAAAGCCUGACGCAGCCACGCCGCGUGAGCGAUGAAGGCCUGUCGUAAGACUCUGUGGGUAGGAGGAAGAAGUAAAGAACGUACGU
This 437-nucleotide ribosomal RNA is filed under the name uncultured bacterium. RNAcentral's name for it is "bacterial SSU rRNA". It matches the Rfam family "Bacterial small subunit ribosomal RNA", at positions 30 to 469 of the family's 1533-position model. The record is from RNAcentral.